Molecule: long non-coding RNA, 233 nt
Organism: Dermochelys coriacea (leatherback sea turtle)
Lineage: Eukaryota; Metazoa; Chordata; Testudines; Dermochelyidae
Exons: 3
Source: RefSeq, a predicted model, not a curated record
GUUGCCGAGCCCUAGUUCAGGGAUUCUCAGACUUUUGUCCUGGUGACCUUUCACACAGCAAGCCUCUGAGUGCGAUCCCCCCUUCUAAAUUAAAAACACCUUUUUAUAUAUUGAACACCAUUAUAAAUGCUGGAGGCACAGAGAUGUUUGGAGUGGAGGCUGACAGCUCAUGACCCCACAUGUAAUAGCCUCAUGACUCCCAAGGGGUCCCAACCCCCAGUUUGAGAACCCCU